UAUAUUUGGCAAUACCGUUGUCAAAUUGUGAAGCAGAACGUUAAUUUUCAUAGAUGGCUCUAAUUAAAAAUCGACUAAGAUCUAGACCACAGAUUGAAGAUAGGUGAACGCAUUAACAAUUAUGUCAAUUGAAAAUGACAUGCGCAAAAAAUUCUCAUUUGAUGACGUUUUAGAUACUUUUGCAUCAAGUAAAUCAAAAAAAUUAUAUUUUUUAAUAUAUUAACUAUGUAAUGUAAAUUUACUUUUUGAGGGAAAAUAUUUUUCUUAUUUAACUAAUAAAUAUCAAUUGACAUAUUAUUAUAAAAAUACUUUUUUUGUACAAUUAGGGACCCCAAAAAUACAUUAGCUGAGGGCCACUAAUUUCAUGAAUCCGGCUCUGUACUUACUUAUAAUCAUUAGUUAAUCGUAGAACUACAG
This is a non-coding RNA of Cinara cedri, 417 nucleotides long. NCBI's taxonomy places the organism in Eukaryota, Metazoa, Arthropoda, Insecta, Hemiptera, Aphididae. The record is from the annotation of a GenBank genome assembly.